Molecule: ribosomal RNA, 742 nt
Filed under: uncultured bacterium
Lineage: Bacteria
Description: bacterial SSU rRNA
Rfam family: Bacterial small subunit ribosomal RNA
Source: RNAcentral
GAUGAACGCUAGCUACAGGCUUAACACAUGCAAGUCGAGGGGCAGCAUGGUCUUAGCUUGCUAAGGCCGAUGGCGACCGGCGCACGGGUGAGUAACACGUAUCCAACCUGCCGUCUACUCUUGGACAGCCUUCUGAAAGGAAGAUUAAUACAAGAUGGCAUCAUGAGUCCGCAUGUUCACAUGAUUAAAGGUAUUCCGGUAGACGAUGGGGAUGCGUUCCAUUAGAUAGUAGGCGGGGUAACGGCCCACCUAGUCUUCGAUGGAUAGGGGUUCUGAGAGGAAGGUCCCCCACAUUGGAACUGAGACACGGUCCAAACUCCUACGGGGGGCAGCAGUGAGGAAUAUUGGUCAAUGGGCGAGAGCCUGAACCAGCCAAGUAGCGUGAAGGAUGACUGCCCUAUGGGUUGUAAACUUCUUUUAUAAAGGAAUAAAGUCGGGUAUGGAUACCCGUUUGCAUGUACUUUAUGAAUAAGGAUCGGCUAACUCCGUGCCAGCAGCCGCGGUAAUACGGAGGAUCCGAGCGUUAUCCGGAUUUAUUGGGUUUAAAGGGAGCGUAGAUGGAUGUUUAAGUCAGUUGUGAAAGUUUGCGGCUCACCCGUAAAAUUGCAGUUGAUACUGGAUAUCUUGAGUGCAGUUGAGGCAGGCGGAAUUCGUGGUGUAGCGGUGAAAUGCUUAGAUAUCACGAAGAACUCCGAUUGCGAAGGCAGCCUGGUAAGCUGCAACUGACAUUGAGGCUCGAAAG